Molecule: long non-coding RNA, 256 nt
Filed under: Lepisosteus oculatus (spotted gar)
Lineage: Eukaryota; Metazoa; Chordata; Actinopteri; Semionotiformes; Lepisosteidae
Description: lncRNA (ENSLOCG00000021947.1)
Source: RNAcentral
GCUGACAAUGGGCACCAGGCAUGGAGACUGCUCUUUGAUUGGUGAUAUCUUAAGCUGGAUAUAAUCUCAGGGGCAUAUCCUUGUGAAGUUCAAGUGAGGAGAAAAAAGUAAAACUGUAAAAUGGGGAAAAACAUCAAAAGGCUGGGAUAACAAAAUCUCUAAACGUGCGGAUUAAGAAUGGCAUUAACAGAAGGAUGGUGCUCUGCUGAGCACAUGAACAAGGUCAGAUGGGAAGGGUGCCGCCUUUAAAUCAUCC